RNAcentral lists this transfer RNA (69 nucleotides) under Ictidomys tridecemlineatus (thirteen-lined ground squirrel). RNAcentral describes it as "Spermophilus tridecemlineatus (thirteen-lined ground squirrel) tRNA". It matches the Rfam family "tRNA". From Rfam's summary of the family: Transfer RNA (tRNA) molecules are approximately 80 nucleotides in length. Their secondary structure includes four short double-helical elements and three loops (D, anti-codon, and T loops). Further hydrogen bonds mediate the characteristic L-shaped molecular structure. tRNAs have two regions of fundamental functional importance: the anti-codon, which is responsible for specific mRNA codon recognition, and the 3' end, to which the tRNAs corresponding amino acid is attached (by aminoacyl-tRNA synthetases). tRNAs cope with the degeneracy of the genetic code in two manners: having more than one tRNA (with a specific anti-codon) for a particular amino acid; and 'wobble' base-pairing, i.e. permitting non-standard base-pairing at the 3rd anti-codon position. The record is from Rfam by way of RNAcentral. Lineage: Eukaryota; Metazoa; Chordata; Mammalia; Rodentia; Sciuridae.
GGGAUUGUGGCUCAGUGGGAGAGUGCUUGCCUAACACGUGUGAGACACUGAGUUCAAUUCUCAGCACCA